Molecule: unclassified non-coding RNA, 253 nt
Filed under: Hevea brasiliensis (rubber tree)
Lineage: Eukaryota; Viridiplantae; Streptophyta; Magnoliopsida; Malpighiales; Euphorbiaceae
Source: RNAcentral
AAUUAGAAGAAAUGGCAGGAAAGGCUUGUUCCAAGAAAGUGUUACAGAUUAGAAAAAGAAAAUAUUGGGGUGGAUGUAUAAGGUGCAAAAUGGAAUAGAAGAUUAUGCUAAUUGAAAUAUACUUAAAUGACCCGUAAUUCAAUAGAAUUAAUUGAUAAUUUCAUUUACAGUAUUAGAAUUUUAUUGAGCUAUGUAUAGAUAGAUGGAAGAUUUGAUGUAUCAAUAUUUUGUGUUUGAACGUGCUAAGUUUUGU